RNAcentral lists this long non-coding RNA (217 nucleotides) under Elaeis guineensis (African oil palm). Its description in RNAcentral is "long non-coding RNA (EGUI_LNC069647)". Lineage: Eukaryota; Viridiplantae; Streptophyta; Magnoliopsida; Arecales; Arecaceae. The record is from RNAcentral.
GCAUUUUGCACAGUCCAGGAGCCAUUUUGCAUAGUCCAAGUGUCAUUUCGUAGGGUCCACAUGUAGUAGGGCAUGAUUGAAUGGCUAGGAAGGCUUGCGAGCAUGAUCGGACAGCCAUGGGAGCUUGUAGGGUUGAUCAAGUGGCCAGAAGGAUUUCUCGAGUCCUAUUAAGAAUUCAAUUUUGACUAAGACUCAUUUUGAGCCCUAUAAAAAUGGC